CGGACGGGUGAGUAUCGCGUAGGGAUUUAUCGUUGGGUGGGGGAUAACCUUGGGAAACUGGGGCUAAUACCGCAUGACGCCUUUGGGCCAAAGCAGUGAUGCGCCUGAUGAGGAGCCUGCGUCCGAUUAGCUAGUUGGUUGGGUAAAGGCUGACCAAGGCAUCGAUCGGUAGCUGGUCUGAGAGGAUGAUCAGCCACACUGGGACUGAGACACGGCCCAG
RNAcentral lists this ribosomal RNA (220 nucleotides) under uncultured bacterium. Its description in RNAcentral is "partial 16S ribosomal RNA". It matches the Rfam family "Bacterial small subunit ribosomal RNA", at positions 99 to 334 of the family's 1533-position model. The record is from RNAcentral.